Molecule: long non-coding RNA, 443 nt
Filed under: Androctonus crassicauda
Lineage: Eukaryota; Metazoa; Arthropoda; Arachnida; Scorpiones; Buthidae
Source: RNAcentral
AUUUGAAAGAAAGAAAUUUUAUGAAUUUUUUUAAUCGAUACGAAUUUUUCUUAUGGAACCUUCUAUAGUAGAGGUAAUCAACCUUAAUAAGCUUACAUUUAUUCAUUUUUUAUAAACUAAAAAAACUUAAAUCGAUUAUUUAAAUUCCACGAAACAUGACACGUAAAUUUUCGCAAAGAAAAAUAAUGAUAUAGAGAAUCUUAAUAAAUCCGGAACUAAGCAAAACGGAAACGGUCAAUGAAAAGAUCCUUGUACUCAAAUUUAAAUUCUGAAAAUUAUUCACGAAACUUGCAUCCAAGAAAAAAUUAUGGUCACAAACACUUAAACUCUGCGUGGGAAACCGCGUUAUUAAACUUUUUGAGGCCGUCACGACUGUUAAAACUAACAAAUUCCGUUUGGUUAUUUGAUUCUUAUCUAAUACGAAGCUACUAUUUACUUCCAAU